UACGGGGGGUGCGAGCGUUGUCCGGAAUCACUGGGCGUAAAGGGCGCGUAGGUGGCCUGAUAAGGGUGUGGUGAAAGUCCGGGGCUCAACCCCGGAUCGGCCGUGCCGACUGUUAGGCUAGAGUACUGUAGGGGCAGGCGGAAUUCCGGGUGUAGUGGUGGAAUGCGUAGAGAUCCGGAGGAACACCAGCGGCGAAGGCGGCAUCCUGGACUGGUCCUGACACUCAGGAGCGAAAGCGUGGGGAGCGAUCCGG
This 253-nucleotide ribosomal RNA is filed under the name uncultured bacterium. Its description in RNAcentral is "partial 16S ribosomal RNA". It matches the Rfam family "Bacterial small subunit ribosomal RNA", at positions 524 to 776 of the family's 1533-position model. The record is from RNAcentral.